UCGAACGAGAAAGCACCCUUCGGGGUGCGAGUAAAGUGGCGAACGGGUGAGUAACGCGUGGGAAACCUGCCCUCGAGUGGGGGAUAACAGCUCUAACGGGCUGCUAAUACCGCAUGACGCCACGGAUCGCAUGAUCUGUGGUUAAAGGAGGCCUCUGUAUAUGCUUCCGCUUGGGGAUGGUCCCGCGUCCUAUUAGCUUGUUGGUGGGGUAACGGCCUACCAAGGCGACGAUGGGUAGCCGGCUUGAGAGAGUGGUCGGCCACACUGGGACUGAGAUACGGCCCAGACUCCUACGGGAGGCAGCAGUCGAGAAGCUUCGGCAAUGGGGGAAACCCUGUCCGAGCGACGCCGCGUGGGUGAUGAAGGUCUUUGGAUCGUAAAACCCUGUCAGGUGGGAUGAAAUGCCAUUUGGUUAAUACCCGAGUGGUUUGACAGUACCGCCAGAGGAAGCUCCGGCCAACUCCGUGCCAGCAGCCGCGGUAACACGGGGGGAGCAAGCGUUGUUCGGAUUUAUUGGGCGUAAAGAGCUCGUAGGCGGCUCCGUAAGUCAGAGGUGAAAGACCACGGCUCAACCGUGGAAACGCCUUUGAAACUGCGGAGCUUGAGGCCGGGAGAGGAAAGUGGAAUUCCUGGAGUAGCGGUGAAAUGCGUAGAUAUCAGGAGGAACACCAGUGGCGAAGGCGACUUUCUGGACCGGUUCUGACGCUGAGGAGCGAAAGCCAGGGGAGCGAACAGGAUUAGAUAC
This 745-nucleotide ribosomal RNA is filed under the name uncultured bacterium. RNAcentral's name for it is "bacterial SSU rRNA". It matches the Rfam family "Bacterial small subunit ribosomal RNA", at positions 62 to 785 of the family's 1533-position model. The record is from RNAcentral.